UACGGAGGGUGCAUGCGUUGUUCGGAAUUAUUGGGCGUAAAGGGCGCGUAGGCGGUUGUGAUAGUCAGAUGUGAAAUCCUCCGGCUUAACUGGAGAACUGCAUCUGAAACUUCAUAGCUAGAGUACAGGAGAGGGAAACGGAAUUCCCGGUGUAGAGGUGGAAUUCGUAGAUAUCGGGAGGAACACCAGUGGCGAAGGCGGUUUCCUGGCCUGAUACUGACGCUGAGGCGCGAAAGCGUGGGGAGGCAAACAGGAUUAGAUACCCUCGGUA
This 271-nucleotide ribosomal RNA is filed under the name uncultured prokaryote. RNAcentral describes it as "partial 16S ribosomal RNA". It matches the Rfam family "Bacterial small subunit ribosomal RNA", at positions 524 to 792 of the family's 1533-position model. The record is from RNAcentral.